UAGGGAUUGCAGUGAAAAGCCCACAGCGCGGGUUGGGUCGCGGGCAUGCAACGCGAGGACUUGUAACGGAAAGCCCGGGCCUCA
This 84-nucleotide unclassified non-coding RNA is filed under the name Mucilaginibacter gossypii. RNAcentral's name for it is "Flavo-1 RNA". The record is from RNAcentral. Lineage: Bacteria; Pseudomonadati; Bacteroidota; Sphingobacteriia; Sphingobacteriales; Sphingobacteriaceae.